GUAGUUAGCGUUCAAGAAUGAAUAUAUACUAAUGUUGCGGAUGUAUAAUUUGAAUUUUUACAAUGAUUGGGCUGCAAUAUACUACUAAAGUACUAUCUAUAUAUUAUUAUAUACAUUAGAGAAGUAUAAUGUUUUUGAUGUUACUAUGAGUGUAUAUCCACAACGGGCAGGCUGAAAUUGGAAAAGUUAGCCCGACCACGGUGGGAAUCGAACGCGCGACUUUUGCGAUACUAGUCCAAUACUCUGCCAACUGAGCUACGAGGCCAAGUAGUAAUGUAUUUUUGAACUCUCGUUUCAGCUCUUUAGCUCUGUUUAUUUAAGGCGUUGUCGUACUUCACGAGUCGGUUAUAUUCUCAGUCGAGCAAAUUUAAGGAUGUUCAUAAUUUAACUAACUUAUAGACUUAAUUGUCUAUAUAGGAAAAUGUUCAAACUGUAUGUUAAUUAAACUUGAUUUUAUGAAUUAACCUCAGAGUUUCCGAGAGGGGGGCAGGGGGAGGGGAAUUACCCCGGGCCCCUACCUUAGUAGGACCCCAACUUGAGAGCAAGAGCCUAAAAAUGAGUAGGUUCUUUAAAUUGGUCAGAGAAUUUUUGAAAUCGAAGGCCUCUUACAGUGCCUCCACAUGCAGUCUAUAGUUAAGGUUUAGUUGGGUCUGGCUUGAAAUAUGAUGUCAUGGGCCCCCAGGGAAGAUUUGCCCCCGGGCCCGCGAAUUCUCUCGGCGGCCCUGAUUAACCUAACUUAUAAUUAAGGAGAACUAACCGAAGUAAGCUUUUGAUGAUGUAAUAUUAUAAUUAUAAUUAACUAACCGCGCGAAAUAAACCCGUACAAUGAAUAAUUGACGGCAAAGCCCUUAACAUACGACUUGUAAGUUACAAAGUUUAUUUUUAAUUUUUUACCAUGCACUUACGUCAUUAUAAACAACAGAGCAUUUAGGGUCCAAAUCAAAGACUACGUAAUUUAAUUCUAUAAAAUAUAUAUCCAUCAUUGUCUGGUUCAGUCAUAUAAACUUUAUUGCGUUGCUGCGCAGCUACAAACAGGCUUUCAGAAAUAGACGGGUAUUCUGCUCUUUUAAUAUCUUCAGUAUAUAUUGCUUCGUCGCGUCGGAGUCAAAACUCUCUCAAUUCGACCUGCCGCAUGACAAGGAAUUGAUAAAUCCUUAAUAUUAUUUUCC
Paramuricea clavata is the source of this 1169-nucleotide non-coding RNA. NCBI's taxonomy places the organism in Eukaryota, Metazoa, Cnidaria, Anthozoa, Malacalcyonacea, Plexauridae. The record is from the annotation of a GenBank genome assembly.